Aegilops tauschii subsp. strangulata is the source of this 3492-nucleotide long non-coding RNA. RefSeq lists it as uncharacterized. Lineage: Eukaryota; Viridiplantae; Streptophyta; Magnoliopsida; Poales; Poaceae. The record is from RefSeq and is a predicted model, not a curated record.
CAGUCGUGAAAUCCUUAUCUGCUUCAUUCUUCUUCCAUACAUGAUAUACAAGGUUAUCAUUAGUCCAAAUUAAAGCAGUUCUUGUGAUGCUCGAUACUGUUGGCAGGAGGUACGAAAUUGUUUGAUCUAUCAAGCAUGGAUUGUUGACGGCAACCACGGGAGGGGGUCGGGGCGAUCGAAGAGUAAGGCGUGGGUGACUCCGGCGAGAUGUGGCUAGAGCGGAUGUCGAUGAUGCGGCAAUGAGAAGACCCUCUUUGUGAGCCCUAUCCCUCUCAUUUAGCGUCUCAAUUUUUGGUUCUCGUGCUCGUGUUUCUCUGUUCUUCAUUUGCGAUGAUGGAUCAGAAAGCCCCAGAUAGUACUGUUUUAGUGUUCUAUGAUUGAAAUAAAUUUAUAUACUGCGAACGAGCACAUAAGAAAUAUAGGAAAAAUCUUUAAAAAAAUUGAUCACUAUUUGCAAAUUUCAGCUUCACAAUUCAUAGAUCCUGGCGUCUCGCACUAAGAAAGCACAACAAUAAAAGGCGCAUUCUACCGCCAUUGCAGAGUGCAGGCAUGGAAGGGGUGGUAAGCCAAGAGAUAGUCGGGACUCAAAAAACUGUUGAAUGUGUGGAUGGGGUAGCUCAAGUAUAGAUUCUGAAAAGAGGAAAAGGCGCUAAAGUUGUCCUAGAAGAAAUUAUUUUUCAUACAUAUUUUGAUACUGAUAAGGAACUACUCAAAAGAGAAGUUUCAAGGAACUAAUCAACAGAGUGCAGUACGUUGAAAUACCUAAUUCAACAUGUUGGUGAUACACUGAUCGUGGAUGGGGUAUGAUUUUCUGGUUAUAUACUGCAACAUUUUGAAUUAGGUAAAAUGAAGCUAAGGUGAACAAACUCAAACCACGAUCAGUGUAUCACCACCUGCCAGUGAAGCUCCAUUUUUCUAUAGUUAAGCCACGACAAUGGUUUAGAAAACGAAUCGACUCUACCAUACUUGAUUACUGCAUUCCAAAGUCCAAACACUACAGAAAAAGGUUUUUCAUUUACGGUAAACAGUACUCUUGUACUGCAUAUAUUCAUAAAUCUAUAGAAAAGGUUUUGACUUUCAGUACAAAAAAAUAUAAUCUUAAUAUUCUAUAAUCCCGAGUUAUCCAAGUUCGACCACCAUGAAUGAUUAACGAGAUUCAAGCUGAUUUGGUCAGAGUUGCAAAAACUUGUACAUCUCCUGGAUAACAGUUUUGGUGAUACUCUGAAAUGAGUUUUCCUGCAAAGAUAGGCGUGAAAAGUCUGACCAAAAAGCAGAGAGGUGUUACUAAGGAGUGCUCAAGCAUGGAAACGAAAAAAGGAAUUAUUUUAGUCAAAAAUGGAAUUUGGUGUUUUUUUCCUGCAUAGACACGAUUCCUGAUAAAUACAUGAAGCACUGAGGCACCAUUGUGCUAGCAAACUGCAUAUCCGUAUUUAAUCGAACCAGCUAUUGUCCUAUUUUUUACACCCAUAAUGCACUUCUAAGAUAAGUGUAUCUAUAUUCUGGCAAUUUUUAUUUGUUCAACACUGUCUUGUGGCAGCAACUUGUCAUCACAUUCAGAAGAGAGACCCGACCAACUAUAGGCCACGGAUAAACAAACUAGACUCUACAAAAGACAAAAAACAAAAUUCUAUAGGGUCCUACUACUACCUCUGAUACAGGCACCACGGAUGAUACUUUGGUACCAUUGCAGUGCCUUCUUUGCUUGUUGGGUUGCUUGUUGUUUGAUAAGAAAAUGAAUUGGAUUGUCCGAGGGGAGGAGAGAACUCAACGUGUGAUUAUAGGGUACUGAACUUCUAAAUUAGAACCUGGCCUAAAUUUGAGAUUUCCCAAAUGUAUACUUUUGUUUUCAUUCAUUCUUUGGAGGUGAUCCGUUGGUUACUUAAUGCUCUUUACUGUAUGAGUAAAUUUCUUUUUCUUUAUUUCUAUACUCAGUUUUCUUUCUCCAUGAAGAUUCCUAUACACCCACCCAACGAUGGUUCUGUUUUCAAGAACCUUACAAAAUUUUCUCCUUUAGACAUGGAUAUUAAGAAGGUGCCGCACAUGUAUGGAUGCAGAGACAACAUCCAUUCUUUACUUCUAAUUUGAACUCAUGCCGAUGCUGAUUCAAUAGAAUACGCCUAAAAUUACUUUUGUUUUGGUAUAUAAUGCAUACUUGCAGACAUCUAAGUAGCAAUAUGUUAUAUAAUAUAUGCUGUUGUUUAUCCUUUUUUUAUUUUAACCGACAAAUAAUUUGAGAGCUUAAAACUCCUACUACAUUAUGAUAAAUAAGAAGGAACAGAAUGGCAAUAUAUUGGCCUCUCUUUUUUUACCAGAAACAAGUUAUAUAGUUCGCGUCCAUGGAGAGUUGAUGCAUUGUCUAGCAUUUGGAACUUUAAUCUUGGUUGUGUAGGCACUUCUGAAUGUUUGGAAGUUACGUGUCCAAUAUGCUCUCGGUUUGUAUUUAGCUCGUGGAUCUCUCUAAGAUUCCAAUUAAGGCAUGACUUUAUUAUACAACAAUUACAGAGGAGAAGGGCGUCUCAUUUCCUUUAGUAGAUACAAUGGAUGACACAACAGAGGGUUGAGGACUUGAAGUAGAUCUUCACCAAUCAUUUUAUCAUAUGCUUUGACAAUCACUGGGGAAGUUGCAUUGCAAAACUGCAGGCUUUUCUGUUGACGGUAUGGCAUCUUAAUCCUUCCUUUUUGUUACUAAUAAUUGUUGUUUAGGUUUACAAGAUCUACAUAGGCUACCAGAGAUUAAUUAAGUAGGAUGUUGGAGGUUAGUUAGGGUGAUGUUGUAUGUGUUUUGCACGUCCUCCCUACGAACCUAGGAAUAGUCAUACCUGUUUGUUAGGAAUGCAGGUUCUGGUUUUCAUUAGAAUCGCAUAUUGUUUGUUUAGCAGUAUUGUCGGUGGUGACACAGGGUUUGCUUUUUGAGAUGUAGGUUUUGCUUCCGGUGACACCCUAGGAAUUUGCUUUUAAAUUUGAAUUUAAAAUCAAACACUUGUUAAUUUUACACUCAUUUACAUAUUUAUGUUAGUAUAGUUGUCUCACCCAUUGAUGCAGAGCUCCCGGCCUUCUCAGCCUGGCAUUGGCACAUCAAUAAGGGCUUCAAAGAGGAGGUACAACCUACUAUCUGCUGAAUUGAUCUUGAUCAAGUGGAUGUCGGCGUGGCACUGGACCUAUGCUUCGCAGUGGCGGCGACGACACCGUUCUGGAAGCAGUGGGGGCGGUGGGCCACGCCCGUGCCGUCGCUGACACUCCAGCUGCACGGUGCCGGCUGGGAGUCGCUGACACUCCACCUGAACAGCACCGGCUGGCAGUUGCCGUGUGAUAACUACAUGUUCGAAACACGAUGGCCGGCGCAAUGUGACAAGCUCACAACGUCGUUAUAGUGUUUUUUUUUUACAAAGGUAGACCUUGUAUUAUGGAUCAGGUGAAACACACCGAUGUGUUAGUGGUAUUGAACUGAAGCAAUGAUUUUUCAAUGAAAUGUGAUCUGGAUUGUAAAGCUGA